UGGGGAAUCUUGCACAAUGGGGGCAACCCUGAUGCAGCGACGCCGCGUGAGCGAUGAAGGUUUUCGAAUCGUAAAGCUCUUUCCUAUGGGAAGAUAAUGACGGUACCAUAGGAGGAAGCCCCGGCUAACUACGUGCCAGCAGCCGCGGUAAUACGUAGGGGGCGAGCGUUGUCCGGAAUUACUGGGCGUAAAGGGUUCGCAGGCGGCCUGGCAAGUCCGACGUAAAAGGCGAAGGCUCAACCUUCGUAAGCAUCGGAAACUGUCAAGGUUGAGUGAAGGAGAGGCGAGUGGAAUUCCUAGAGUGGCGGUGUAAAGCGUAUAUAUAAGGAGGAAUACCGGUGUGGAAGACGACUUGCUGGACUUCAACUGACGCUGAGAAACGAAAGCGUGGGUAGCAAACAGG
This 403-nucleotide ribosomal RNA is filed under the name Verrucomicrobiota bacterium. RNAcentral's name for it is "Verrucomicrobia bacterium partial 16S ribosomal RNA". It matches the Rfam family "Bacterial small subunit ribosomal RNA", at positions 355 to 776 of the family's 1533-position model. Lineage: Bacteria; Pseudomonadati; Verrucomicrobiota. The record is from RNAcentral.